This 1483-nucleotide ribosomal RNA is filed under the name metagenome. RNAcentral's name for it is "bacterial LSU rRNA". It matches the Rfam family "Bacterial large subunit ribosomal RNA", at positions 1459 to 2925 of the family's 2925-position model. The record is from RNAcentral.
AAGCGAUGGGGUGACGCAGGAAGGUAGUCCAGCCCAGGCGAUGGUUGUCCUGGGGUAAGCAUGUAGGGCGUGUCGUAGGUAAAUCCGCGGCAUUUAAGUCUGAGAUGUGAUGCCGAGCCGAUUGUGGUGAAGUGGAUGAUCCUAUGCUGCCGAGAAAAGCCUCUAGUGAGUGUUGUGGCGGCCCGUACCCUAAACCGACUCAGGUGGUCAGGUAGAGAAUACCAAGGCGAUCGGGUGAACUGUGGUUAAGGAACUCGGCAAAUUGCCCCCGUAACUUCGGGAGAAGGGGGACCUCUGUUGGUGAUGGGCUUUACGCCUGGAGCUGGUGGGGGUCGCAGUGGCCAGGGGGAAGCGACUGUUUACUAAAAACACAGGUCCGUGCGAAGUCGUAAGACGAUGUAUACGGACUGACGCCUGCCCGGUGCCGGAACGUUAAGGGGACCGCUUAGCUGACGUGAGUUGGCGAAGGUGAGAACUUAAGCGCCGGUAAACGGCGGUGGUAACUAUAACCAUCCUAAGGUAGCGAAAUUCCUUGUCGGGUAAGUUCCGACCUGCACGAAUGGCGUAACGACUUCCCCGCUGUCUCAACCGCAGACCCGGCGAAAUUGCACUACGAGUAAAGAUGCUCGUUUCGCGCAGCAGGACGGAAAGACCCCGGGACCUUCACUACAGCUUGACAUUGGCGUUUGGAACGUCUUGUGUAGGAUAGGUGUAGACUGGGAAGCUGUCACGCUAGUGAUGGUGGAGUCAUUGGUGAAAUACCACUCUGGUCGUUUUGAACGUCUAACUCUGGUCCGUGAUCCGGAUCGGGGACAGUGUCUGGUGGGUAGUUUAACUGGGGCGGUUGCCUCCUAAAGAGUGACGGAGGCGCCCAAAGGUUCCCUCAGCCUGGUUGGCAAUCAGGUGUUGAGUGUAAGUGCACAAGGGAGCUUGACUGUGAGACUGACAGGUCGAGCAGGAGCGAAAGCUGGGACUAGUGAUCCGGCAUCGGCGUGUGGAAGCGGUGUCGCUCAACGGCUAAAAGGUACCCCGGGGAUAACAGGCUGAUCUUCCCCAAGAGUCCAUAUCGACGGGAUGGUUUGGCACCUCGAUGUCGGCUCGUCGCAUCCUGGGGCUGGAGUAGUCCCAAGGGUUGGGCUGUUCGCCCAUUAAAGCGGUACGCGAGCUGGGUUUAGAACGUCGCGAGACAGUUCGGUCCCUAUCCGCUGCGCGCGCAGGAGACUUGAAGGGGGCUGUCCCUAGUACGAGAGGACCGGGACGGACGAACCUCUGGUGUCCAGUUGUACCGCCAGGUGCACGGCUGGUUGGCUACGUUCGGAAGGGAUAACCGCUGAAAGCAUCUAAGCGGGAAGCUCGCCUUGAGAUGAGGUCUCCCACCACGAGAGUGGGUAAGGCUCCCGGUAGACGACCGGGUUGAUAGGCCGGAGGUGGAAGCACGGUAACGUGUGGAGCUGACCGGUACUAAUAGGCCGAGGACUUGGCC